AUUGAACGCUGGCGGCAGGCCUAACACAUGCAAGUCGAACGGUAACAGGAAGCAGCUUGCUGCUUUGCUGACGAGUGGCGGACGGGUGAGUAAUGUCUGGGAAACUGCCUGAUGGAGGGGGAUAACUACUGGAAACGGUAGCUAAUACCGCAUAACGUCGCAAGACCAAAGAGGGGGACCUUCGGGCCUCUUGCCAUCGGAUGUGCCCAGAUGGGAUUAGCUAGUAGGUGGGGUAACGGCUCACCUAGGCGACGAUCCCUAGCUGGUCUGAGAGGAUGACCAGCCACACUGGAACUGAGACACGGUCCAGACUCCGACGGGAAGCAGCAGUGGGGAAUAUUGCACAAUGGGGGCAAGCCUGAUGCAGCCAUGCCGCGUGUAUGAAGAAGGCCUUCGGGUUGUAAAGUACUUUCAGCGGGGAGGAAGGGAGUAAAGUUAAUACCUUUGCUCAUUGACGUUACCCGCAGAAGAAGCACCGGCUAACUCCGUG
This 490-nucleotide ribosomal RNA is filed under the name uncultured bacterium. RNAcentral's name for it is "partial 16S ribosomal RNA". It matches the Rfam family "Bacterial small subunit ribosomal RNA", at positions 30 to 507 of the family's 1533-position model. The record is from RNAcentral.